GACGAACGCUGGCGGCGUGCUUAACACAUGCAAGUCGAGCGGUAAGGCCCUUUCGGGGGUACACGAGCGGCGAACGGGUGAGUAACACGUGGGUGACCUGCCCUCAGCUCUGGGAUAAGCCUGGGAAACCGGGUCUAAUACUGGAUAUGACUCCAUGACGCAUGUUGUGGGGUGGAAAGCCUUGUGCGGCUGAGGAUGGGCCCGCGGCCUAUCAGCUUGUUGGNGGGGUGAGGCCUACCAAGGCGACGACGGGUAGCCGGCCUGAGAGGGCGACCGGCCACACUGGGACUGAGACACGGCCCAGACUCCUACGGGAGGCAGCAGUGGGGAAUCUUGCGCAAUGGGCGAAAGCCUGACGCAGCGACGCCGCGUGAGGGAUGACGGCCU
This 387-nucleotide ribosomal RNA is filed under the name uncultured bacterium. RNAcentral describes it as "bacterial SSU rRNA". It matches the Rfam family "Bacterial small subunit ribosomal RNA", at positions 28 to 417 of the family's 1533-position model. The record is from RNAcentral.